This 204-nucleotide unclassified non-coding RNA is filed under the name soil metagenome. RNAcentral describes it as "partial contains 5.8S ribosomal RNA, internal transcribed spacer 2, and large subunit ribosomal RNA". The record is from RNAcentral.
AACAAGGCGUACCUGCGGACCUGCGGAAGGAUCAUUAUCGAGUUGCAAAACUCCAACCCUUUGUGAACAUACCUCAGUCGUUGCUUCGGCGGUGGACGGCCUGUUUUUCGGAACGGCCGGAAGCCGCCGGAGGUUCCAAACUCGUAUUUUUUAGUGUAUCUCUGAGCCUGAAAACAAAUAAUCAAAACUUUCAGCAAUGGAUCU